Molecule: ribosomal RNA, 468 nt
Filed under: uncultured bacterium
Lineage: Bacteria
Description: partial 16S ribosomal RNA
Rfam family: Bacterial small subunit ribosomal RNA
Source: RNAcentral
GACGAACGCUGGCGGCGUGCUUAACACAUGCAAGUCGAACGGAAAGGCCCUGCUUUUGUGGGGUGCUCGAGUGGCGAACGGGUGAGUAACACGUGAGUAACCUGCCCUUGACUUUGGGAUAACUUCAGGAAAAUGGGGCUAAUACCGGCUAGGAGCUCCUGCUGCAUGGUGGGGUUCGGAACUCUUCGGCGGUUGGGGAUGGACUCGCGGGUUAUCAGCUUGUUGGUGGGGUAGUGGCUUACCAAGGCUUUGACGGGUAGCCGGCCUGAGCGGGUGACCGGGCACAUGGGGACUGAGAGAGGGCCCAGACGCCUACGGGAGGCAGCAGUGGGGAAUAUUGCACAAUGGGCCGAAGCCUAAGGCAGCAACGCCGCGUGCGGAAUGACGGCCUUCGGGUUGUGAACCGCUUUCGCCUGUGACGAAGCGUGAGUGACGGUAAUGGGUAAAUAAGCACCGGCUAACUACGUG